This 466-nucleotide ribosomal RNA is filed under the name uncultured bacterium. Its description in RNAcentral is "partial 16S ribosomal RNA". It matches the Rfam family "Bacterial small subunit ribosomal RNA", at positions 28 to 506 of the family's 1533-position model. The record is from RNAcentral.
GACGAACGCUGGCGGCGUGCUUAACACAUGCAAGUCGAACGGAAAGGCCUCUUUCGGGGGGUACUCGAGUGGCGAACGGGUGAGUAACACGUGAGUAACCUGCCCUUGACUUUGGGAUAACUUCAGGAAACUGGGGCUAAUACCGGAUAGGAGCUCCUGCUGCAUGGUGGGGGUUGGAAAGUUUCGGCGGUUGGGGAUGGACUCGCGGCUUAUCAGCUUGUUGGUGGGGUAGUGGCUUACCAAGGCUUUGACGGGUAGCCGGCCUGAGAGGGUGACCGGCCACAUUGGGACUGAGAUACGGCCCGGACCCCUCCGGGAGGGAGCAGUGGGGAAUAUUGCAAAAUGGGUGGAAGCCUGAUGCAGCAACGCCGGGUGCGGGAUGACGGCCGUCGGGUUGUAAACCGCUUUCGCUCAUGACGAAGCUUUGUGUGAAGGUAGGGGGUAAAGAAGCACCGGCUAACUACGU